Molecule: transfer RNA, 363 nt
Filed under: Microcystis sp. NG03
Lineage: Bacteria; Bacillati; Cyanobacteriota; Cyanophyceae; Chroococcales; Microcystaceae
Description: 16S-23S ribosomal RNA intergenic spacer
Rfam family: tRNA (bases 135-208)
Source: RNAcentral
AAGGGAGACCUAAUUCAGGUAGGAGACGAAAAAAAAGUAGUCCCUACCAAGAAUCAAUCCCAAAAGGUCGGAGCGAGGCAAAAUUGGCUUUCAAACUAGGUUCUGGGUUCACACAAGACCUGAAUCAGGAACAAGGGCUAUUAGCUCAGGUGGUUAGAGCGCACCCCUGAUAAGGGUGAGGUCCCUGGUUCGAGUCCAGGAUGGCCCACCUGUACAGGUGGCAAAAACAAAGAAAAGAAGCUCCGAAUCAGCACCUUAUCUUACUUAUAUAGUAAGAGAGAAUGCUGGCUCUGAGUUCAGAGUCCAGAGGAACCUUGAAAACUGCAUAGAGCUAGGUGAAAAAGCCAAAAAAGAAGACCACAA